Molecule: long non-coding RNA, 1004 nt
Organism: Cynoglossus semilaevis (tongue sole)
Lineage: Eukaryota; Metazoa; Chordata; Actinopteri; Pleuronectiformes; Cynoglossidae
Exons: 3
Source: RefSeq, a predicted model, not a curated record
UCCUGCAUCCAGCAGGGUUUGAGCAGAGGCAAACAGGAACGGAGGAAACAUCAAUACUGAACCUGACAGACCAGACCGGAGUCCCCUGUGUGUGUGACACACUUAUUGAUUCACACCCAGACAAAUAAGACACCCAGACAGCACAGAAACAGCUUUUCUGCUCCUAAACCUCAGUCAAACCUGACUGUUUAAUCUAUACAGGAACAAGAACUAAUAGAAACCCUUACAUAUUUAAAAAAAAAAAAGAUUUAAUUUCUCUUUUCAUUUUGUGCUCAUUCAGCUGUGUGGAGUUUCUAAUCCCUUCCCUGACGACAGGUGAUAUCAGCUCAGGCCUCCUGUGACUCCACCAGCUGACAGAACCAAAUGGAUCGGGACGAGCUCAUGGAAAAAGUCAGCCGAUGACCUAUUCUGUCCUUCCUCCUGCUCGAUGGUUUGUUGAAUACCUGCAUGAACACGCUUCACAAGGAGCUGCAGACAAACCCAGCAGUCACCGCAGGAGGACAGGGUGUGUGGUGGACCAUUCGCCAGGUCAUCACAAGACAAGACAGAGACAAAUGAACAUUGACGCUCACGUUCACACCUGUAGUCAACUUAGAGUAGUGCAGGUCUCUACAGCCUGAAUAGAGACUUUCAGAUCCUGCAGAAAGACUUGGGAUCUAACCCGUGACCUUCUUCCUGUAAGGCAAGUGUGUUAGCCAUAUCUCUCCUGUGUAGUUGUAUUUGAAAUGUAGCGCAUUUAAAAUAUAUGCUGAUUGUAUUCUGAUAUACAAGUACAAGUAUUUACUACCAAUUAUUUUGUUUUGUUAAAUAUUACAAUUUUCGUUGUAAUUGUGAGAAAAAAAAGUCUUUCUUCUUUAACCUGCUUUAAAAAUUGCUCAUACGACAUUUACAAGCUCUACUACAAACAGUCGGUGGAAAUGGAGCAGCUCAGUUCUUACACAUGAUUUUGUCCCUGGGUGCAGUUUGACUACGAUGAGGUCACUUGCACACAAACGCAGAUGCAA